This 429-nucleotide ribosomal RNA is filed under the name Verrucomicrobiota bacterium. RNAcentral's name for it is "Verrucomicrobia bacterium partial 16S ribosomal RNA". It matches the Rfam family "Bacterial small subunit ribosomal RNA", at positions 355 to 776 of the family's 1533-position model. Lineage: Bacteria; Pseudomonadati; Verrucomicrobiota. The record is from RNAcentral.
UAGGGAAUCUUCGGCAAUGGGGGGAACCCUGACCGAGCAACGCCGCGUGAGUGAAGAAGGUUUUCGGAUCGUAAAGCUCUGUUGUUAAGGAAGAACGAGUGUGAGAAUGGAAAGUUCAUGCUGUGACGGUACUUAACCAGAAAGGGACGGCUAACUACGUGCCAGCAGUCGCGGUAAUACGUAGGUCCCGAGCGUUGUCCGGAUUUAUUGGGCGUAAAGCGAGCGCAGGCGGUUAGAAAAGUCUGAAGUGAAAGGCAGUGGCUCAACCAUUGUAGGCUUUGGGAACUGUUUAACUUGAGUGCAGAAGGGGAGGGUGGAAUUCCAUGUGUAGCGGUGAAAUGCGUAGAUAUAUGGAGGAACACCGGUGGCGAAAGCGGCUCUCUGGUCUGUCACAGACGCAGAGGCUCGAAAGCGUGGGGAGCUAACAGG